GAUGAACGCUGGCGGCGUGCCUAAUACAUGCAAGUCGAGCGAACAGACGAGGAGCUUGCUCCUCUGACGUUAGCGGCGGACGGGUGAGUAACACGUGGAUAACCUACCUAUAAGACUGGGAUAACUUCGGGAAACCGGAGCUAAUACCGGAUAAUAUAUUGCACCGCAUGGUUCAAUAGUGAAAGACGGUUUUGCUGUCACUUAUAGAUGGAUCCGCGCCGCAUUAGCUAGUUGGUAAGGUAACGGCUUACCAAGGCAACGAUGCGUAGCCGACAUGAAAGGGUGGUCGACGACCUGGGAGGGGAGACAGCGUCACGACUCCUGAGGGAGGCCGCAGUAGGGAAUCGUACGCAAUGGGGGAAAGCAUGACGGAGCAACGCGGAGUGAGGGAUGAAGGUGUCAGGAUCGUAAAACUGUGUUAUUAGGGGAGAACAAAUGUGGAAGUAACUAUGAAGGUAUUGACGGUACCGAAUCAGAAAGCCACGGCUAACUACGUG
RNAcentral lists this ribosomal RNA (497 nucleotides) under uncultured bacterium. Its description in RNAcentral is "partial 16S ribosomal RNA". It matches the Rfam family "Bacterial small subunit ribosomal RNA", at positions 28 to 507 of the family's 1533-position model. The record is from RNAcentral.